RNAcentral lists this ribosomal RNA (253 nucleotides) under uncultured bacterium. RNAcentral's name for it is "partial 16S ribosomal RNA". It matches the Rfam family "Bacterial small subunit ribosomal RNA", at positions 524 to 776 of the family's 1533-position model. The record is from RNAcentral.
UACGUAAGUGGCGAGCGUUAUCCGGAAUUACUGGGCGUAAAGCGUGCGUAGGCGGCCACGCACGUCCGUUGUGAAAUCGCUCGGCUCAACUGGGCGGGGUCAGCGGAUACGGCGUGGCUGGAGCAAGCUAGGGGGCAAUGGAAUUCCCGGUGUAGUGGUGGAAUGCGUAGAUAUCGGGAGGAACACCAGUGGCGAAGGCGGUUGCCUGGAGCUUUGCUGACGCUGAGGCGCGAAAGCGUGGGGAGCGAUCCGG